CCUGGGGGUCCCUGGGCCCUGCCUGACCCCUGAUUCCCUCCUCUCCAUUUGCAGUUCCUUCUUCUAGGUUCUGUGGAUUCCAGCACAGGUUUGGGGGUGGUCUGGAUGUCCCCUGGGGGUCCCUGGGCCCUGCCUGACCCCUGAUUCCCUCCUCUCCAUUUGCAGUUCCUUCUUCUAGGUUCUGUGGAUUCCAGCACAGGUUUGGGGGUGGUCUGGAUGUCCCCUGGGGGUCCCUGGGCCCUGCCUGACCCCUGAUUCCCUCCUCUCCAUUUGCAGUUCCUUCUUCUAGGUUCUGUGGAUUCCAGCACAGGUUUGGGGGUGGUCUGGAUGUCCCCUGGGGGUCCCUGGGCCCUGCCUGACCCCUGAUUCCCUCCUCUCCAUUUGCAGUUCCCUCUUCUAGGUUCUGUGGAUUCCAGCACAGAUUUGGGGGGUGGUCUGGAUGUCCCCUGGGGUUCCCUGGGCCCUGCCUGACCCCUGAUUCCCUCCUCUCCAUUUGCAGUUCCUUCUUCUAGGUUCUGUGGA
Long non-coding RNA from Anolis carolinensis (green anole), 522 nucleotides. RefSeq lists it as uncharacterized. The transcript has 4 exons. The record is from RefSeq and is a predicted model, not a curated record. NCBI's taxonomy places the organism in Eukaryota, Metazoa, Chordata, Lepidosauria, Squamata, Anolidae.